AGAGUUUGAUCCUGGCUCAGGACGAACGCUGGCGGCGUGCUUAACACAUGCAAGUCGAGCGGAAAGGCCUUUCGGGGUACUCGAGCGGCGAACGGGUGAGUAACACGUGAGCAACCUGCCUCUGACUUUGGGAUAACCCUCGGAAACGGGGGCUAAUACCGGAUAUGACCUCGCGGGGCAUCUUGUGGGGUGGAAAGCUUUUGCGGUCAGGGAUGGGCUCGCGGCCUAUCAGCUUGUUGGUGGGGUGAUGGCCUACCAAGGCGGCGACGGGUAGCCGGCCUGAGAGGGCGACCGGCCACACUGGGACUGAGACACGGCCCAGACUCCUACGGGAGGCAGCAGUGGGGAAUAUUGCACAAUAGGCGGAAGCCUGAUGCAGCGACGCCGCGUGAGGGAUGACGGCCUUCGGGUUGUAAACCUCUUUCAGCUCCGACGAAGCGCAAGUGACGGUAGGAGCAGAAGAAGCGCCGGCCAACUACGUGCCAGCAGCCGCGGUAAGACGUAGGGCGCAAGCGUUGUCCGGAUUUAUUGGGCGUAAAGAGCUCGUAGGCGGCUUGUUGCGUCGACCGUGAAAACCCGCGGCUCAACUGCGGGCUUGCGGUCGAUACGGGCAGGCUGGAGUUCGGUAGGGGAGACUGGAAUUCCUGGUGUAGCGGUGAAAUGCGCAGAUAUCAGGAGGAACACCGGUGGCGAAGGCGGGUCUCUGGGCCGAUACUGACGCUGAGGAGCGAAAGCGUGGGGAGCGAACAGGAUUAGAUACCCUAGUAGUCC
This 771-nucleotide ribosomal RNA is filed under the name uncultured bacterium. RNAcentral describes it as "bacterial SSU rRNA". It matches the Rfam family "Bacterial small subunit ribosomal RNA", at positions 8 to 796 of the family's 1533-position model. The record is from RNAcentral.